This 251-nucleotide ribosomal RNA is filed under the name Serendipitaceae sp. RNAcentral's name for it is "partial small subunit ribosomal RNA". The stretch from base 1 to 117 matches the Rfam family "Eukaryotic small subunit ribosomal RNA", at positions 1336 to 1474 of the family's 1831-position model. The record is from RNAcentral. Lineage: Eukaryota; Fungi; Basidiomycota; Agaricomycetes; Sebacinales; Serendipitaceae.
CGAGACCUUAACCUGCUAAAUAGCCAGACCGUCUUUUGAUGGUUGCAGGCUUCUUAGAGGGACUGUCAGGAUCUACCUGACGGAAGUUUGAGGCAAUAACAGGUCUGUGAUGCCCUUGACCGAUAAUACGAUCACUACGUUGUAUUACAUCUAGGGGUAAAAAGUAGGCUCAAAGUGUCCUGCUAGUGGUGGUACGCUUACCAUUGCAACACGUUCAAAUUGCGGGAAAUUCCUAAAGCUCUGUGUUACCG